Molecule: ribosomal RNA, 558 nt
Filed under: uncultured Pseudomonadota bacterium
Lineage: Bacteria; Pseudomonadati; Pseudomonadota
Description: bacterial SSU rRNA
Rfam family: Bacterial small subunit ribosomal RNA
Source: RNAcentral
UACCGCAUAACGUCGCAAGACCAAAGAGGGGGACCUUCGGGCCUCUUGCCAUCGGAUGUGCCCAGAUGGGAUUAGCUUGUUGGUGGGGUAACGGCUCACCAAGGCGACGAUCCCUAGCUGGUCUGAGAGGAUGACCAGCCACACUGGAACUGAGACACGGUCCAGACUCCUACGGGAGGCAGCAGUGGGGAAUAUUGCACAAUGGGCGCAAGCCUGAUGCAGCCAUGCCGCGUGUAUGAAGAAGGCCUUCGGGUUGUAAAGUACUUUCAGCGGGGAGGAAGGGAGUAAAGUUAAUACCUUUGCUCAUUGACGUUACCCGCAGAAGAAGCACCGGCUAACUCCGUGCCAGCAGCCGCGGUAAUACGGAGGGUGCAAGCGUUAAUCGGAAUUACUGGGCGUAAAGCGCACGCAGGCGGUUUGUUAAGUCAGAUGUGAAAUCCCCGGGCUCAACCUGGGAACUGCAUCUGAUACUGGCAAGCCUGAGUCUCGUAGAGGGGGGUAGAAUUCCAGGUGUAGCGGUGAAAUGCGUAGAGAUCUGGAGGAAUACCGGUGGCGAAG